GUAGAGGGCAAAACAUCUCCUUGAGAAACAGUGGACUAAGACUCUGUUAUUUUGAAUUUGAAUUCUGAGUGACUGUAGACACAGAGCCUGGAUUAGUGCUGUCAUACAAAAAAUCAGCCACAACAACACGCAUAUGGGAAAAGAACAGCAUUGUCAGGAAAAAAUGGACACUAAGAGAAAGAAGAAAGCAGAGUCCCAAGACAAAGAAUAUCUCUUGAUACUAUUAAAUAUAGAUGUCUGGACUGAAUUGAGCUUACACGACAAUUGCAGUCAAGAUUCUGCAACUCAGAACGGGCAAACCAGGAAGAAUAUGAAGUCAAGGAAGACCAUCCACAGAAAAGAUGCUUGCCAAACUCCCAGGUUCCUGGCAGAAUGAAUAAUGUGAAUAAAAUGCAUGUUUAGUCCAACAGUCCUUCUUAAGUGGUAUAUAAAUAAAUAGUAUACAAUAAUAGAUUUUGUAUGGUGCAAUUGUUUUUAUUCAGAAAUGUAGAUACAUAGAAAUACAGUAUCUUAAAAACAUAGGAAGUUCCAGGGCUGCCCACUUACUGCUUCCUGUAUCAGGCGGCAUGAGAGUUACUGAGGAUACAAAGAUGAGUGAGACACUGCCCUGUAAAGCCAUAAUUGAGUUCACCUUUAUGAAUCUGUGUCUUAAUUCUGACACAUCAUUUGAAAGUCAUUUUUGGGGUAAAGGGGAAGGAAUCAGGAGAAGAUUAGAAAAAUCUCCAAUGACAUCUUAAUUAUAAAGGUAGGGGAAGCUUUGUUUUGGA
RNAcentral lists this long non-coding RNA (767 nucleotides) under Homo sapiens (human). Its description in RNAcentral is "HSALNT0297238". The record is from RNAcentral. Lineage: Eukaryota; Metazoa; Chordata; Mammalia; Primates; Hominidae.